UUAUUUACUAAUUAUAUUGAAAAUUUAAACUUAAAAAAUCUUAGAAAAUUAAUAAACUUGAAAUACUCAUUUAUUAUUUAUACUUAUUACUACAAUUAGACUUAAACCCAUAAUUAAAAGGCUUUUAUUAGCUCAUAACCUCUCACUACAUUUAAAAAUCUCUUUAUUUGGGGCCAUUUCCCAUGGAUUAACCCCAUUUUAAUUCUGCUUUCCCCAGAUGACGCAAGGGUACGGCCCCCUCCCCCCAUCCCUAAGGAAUCCUUUUCUCACGGGAUUCCCGGGAAUUUUAACGGGAUUUGAGUUUUCCCUCGGCAGCUAUGGCACCUACCCUGCCCCCACAGCCAGAGCUACUCAUGGGGGGGCCGGGGGGCAGGGCUACUCCCAGCAGAGCUACAGCAGCUACGGCCAGGGCUCAGCCAAGGGCUUGGGCUACAGCCAGGGCGGCUACAGCGGCUCUUACAGCCAGAACUAGAGCGGUGAGCGAUCCCAAAAAUCUGGAAUUCCCAAAAAUCCCCAUCCCUCUAUCUUGCUAGACCUGAAAUCUGCGCUUCUGUACCUGAAACUGCCCUAAAACUGCUCUGAAAUCCCCCAAAGUGAGCCCAGAGCUGCCUGGGCAGAGCCAGAGCAGUGAGUGAUCCCAAAAAUCCUGGAAUUCCCAAAAAUCCCAGGUGUUAUAUCCCCCUGUACCCAAAAUUGCCGCCUUUGUACCUGAAACUGCCCUGAAAUGACCAAAUCUGAGCCCAAAAAUGACCCCAGUUUUUGACCAUCCCGUUUCUCCCGGUUUACUCCCAUCAUUCCCACUUUCCCCAUUAUUCCCAUCAUUCCUGUUUUUCCCACUUUCUUCAUUUUCCCCCCGUUUUCCCCCUGUUUAUCCCCGUUUUUCCCCAGUUUAUCCCUAUUUCUCACUGUUUUUCCUGUUUUCCCCCCAUUUUUCCCCAGUUUAUCCCCAGGUUACUCGGUGCCAGCGGCUCCUCCCUCCUACAGCUCUGGCGGCUUUGGCUCCGGGCAGAGCUCCUCAUACCCGGCCUACUCCCAGCCCCCCACUGCUGCCUCUGCCAGUUACGGCAGCGGCUUUGUCAGUUCCAGCUAUGGCCAAGCCCUGAGCAGGGGCCACAGCCAGCAGAGCUACGACCAGCAGUUGUCCUACGCCCCACCCCCUCCCCUGAGCUACAGCCAGCAGGGCCAGUACAGCUCUGGUGGCUGUGAGUCAUGUUCCUAAAAAAAUCCGGGGUUUUGGGGCAAAUUCUGUGGAUUUUGGGCAAAAUUGGGACUGAAAUUGGGGGAUUCGGGGUGGAAUUUGGGGGUUUGGGAUAGGAACAGUUGUCCUACAACACCCCCCCAAGAUACAGUGGUAGAAAUUCCCCCAAAAUUGCGGGAUUUUGGAAAAAAAAAUUACCAAAUUUGGGGCAGAAUCCCUGGGAUUCGGGGCAGAAUUUGUGGGAUUUAGGGGAGAAUUCUUGGAAUUUGGGGCAGAAUCCCUCAGAUUUUAGGCAGAA
Molecule: long non-coding RNA, 1496 nt
Filed under: Cyanistes caeruleus (blue tit)
Lineage: Eukaryota; Metazoa; Chordata; Aves; Passeriformes; Paridae
Description: lncRNA (ENSCCEG00000022869.1)
Source: RNAcentral